Molecule: ribosomal RNA, 379 nt
Filed under: uncultured eukaryote
Lineage: Eukaryota
Description: partial 18S ribosomal RNA
Rfam family: Eukaryotic small subunit ribosomal RNA
Source: RNAcentral
CAAUAGCGUAUAUUUAAGUUGUUGCAGUUAAAAAGCUCGUAGUUGGAUUUCGGAUGGGACUUGCCGGUCCGUCGUUUCGAUGUGCACUGGCCAGUCCUAUCUUGUUGUCGGGGACUAGCUCCUGGGCUUCACUGUCCGGGACUAGGAGCUGACGAGGUUACUUUGAGUAAAUUAGAGUGUUCAAAGCAAGCCUACGCUCUGAAUACAUUAGCAUGGAAUAACACGAUAGGACUCUGGCUUAUCUUGUUGGUCUGUGAGACCAGAGUAAUGAUUAAGAGGGACAGUCGGGGGCAUUCGUAUUUCAUUGUCAGAGGUGAAAUUCUUGGAUUUAUGAAAGACGAACUUCUGCGAAAGCAUUUGUCAAGGAUGUUCNCAUUAA